Molecule: non-coding RNA, 378 nt
Filed under: Caenorhabditis japonica
Lineage: Eukaryota; Metazoa; Nematoda; Chromadorea; Rhabditida; Rhabditidae
Description: Eukaryotic small subunit ribosomal RNA
Rfam family: Eukaryotic small subunit ribosomal RNA
Source: Rfam by way of RNAcentral
AUAUUGCUGCAGUUAAAAUGCUUAUAGUUGGAUCUAGGUUACGUGCUGCAAAUUGCAAUUCGCGUUAACUGUGAUCGUGACUUUUAAUUUGCUGGUCUGAGGUUGGGGUCGCCCUUCAGCUGUCAGUAAUUUACCUAACUUGAAUAAAUCAGUGCUCAAUACAGGCGCUUGCUUGAAUAGCUCAUCAUAGGAUAAUGAAAAAGGACUUUGGUUCUUUUUGCUGGUUCCAGAACUGAUUUAAAAGUUAAGAGGGACAAACCGUGGGCAUUCGUAUCAUUACGCGAGAGGUGAAAUUCGUGGACCGUAGUGAGACGCCCCCAACAGCGAAUCCCGAUUUUUUUGCCCAAUUUUAAUUCGAACGCGAUAUUUAUCAAUCUA